This 71-nucleotide transfer RNA is filed under the name Marmota monax (woodchuck). Its description in RNAcentral is "tRNA.Ala". The record is from RNAcentral. Lineage: Eukaryota; Metazoa; Chordata; Mammalia; Rodentia; Sciuridae.
UGGGGAUGUAGCUCAGUGAUAGGGUGCUUCCCUAGCAUGGUAGAGGCUCUGGGUUUGAUCCCUAGCACUAA